RNAcentral lists this ribosomal RNA (279 nucleotides) under uncultured bacterium. Its description in RNAcentral is "partial 16S ribosomal RNA". It matches the Rfam family "Bacterial small subunit ribosomal RNA", at positions 506 to 784 of the family's 1533-position model. The record is from RNAcentral.
UGCCAGCAGCCGCGGUAAUACGGAGGGUGCAAGCGUUAUUCGGAUUUAUUGGGCGUAAAGGGCGUGUAGGCGGCUUGGUAAGUUGAAGGUGAAAUCCCACGGCUCAACCGUGGAACUGCCUUCGAUACUGCCAGACUAGAGUACGGGAGAGGGUAGUGGAAUUCCCAGUGUAGCGGUGAAAUGCGUAGAUAUUGGGAGGAACACCAGUGGCGAAGGCGACUACCUGGACGGGUACUGACGCUGAGGCGCGAAAGCGUGGGGAGCAAACAGGAUUAGAUA